This 456-nucleotide long non-coding RNA is filed under the name Homo sapiens (human). RNAcentral describes it as "HSALNT0305365". The record is from RNAcentral. Lineage: Eukaryota; Metazoa; Chordata; Mammalia; Primates; Hominidae.
UGAUGAAACUGACAAAGGCGAGAGCGCGCAGCAGCCCACAGCAGCCGAGUUCGCGCCGCCGGUGGCUGGACUCAGACACAUCACGCUCCAGUUUGGGUUCCAAGGUGCUUCUCUCUGGAUUUUCACCUGCCUUGCCAAAAAUGAUUGAUUACGCUGGGCCAACUGGGUGUCCGGCAAUACCCAACAAAUGACUUUGGCCCCUAACAGCAGGUCUUGGCCAGACAGAAAUCAAUAUUUCACCAUUAAAAUCUAUCAAAGAAGAGUUAAGGCACCAUCUGUCCCUGCCGCCUCUCUAUGGUGUGUGAACAUUAAAUCCGACACUUGUACUACAUGGGUAAUCAAUAUAUAGUGGUUCACAGAUCAUUUGUGGUUCCCUUUUAGCAGUGAUGGAUGUCUGGAAUCGUUGUGAUUCAUUUUGUCAGACCAUUAAACAAGAUUCUGUCCAGUUCCUUCCUG